UACGAAGGGGGGCUAGCGUUGUUCGGAAUUACUGGGCGUAAAGCGCACGUAGGCGGAUUUGUAAGUCAGGGGUGAAAUCCCCGGGGCUCAACCUCGGAACUGCCUUUGAUACUGCAAGUCUCGAGUCCGAUAGAGGUGAGUGGAAUUCCUAGUGUAGAGGUGAAAUUCGUAGAUAUUAGGGAAGAACACCAGUGGCGAAGGCGGCUCACUGGAUCGGUACUGACGCUGAGGUGCGAAAGCGUGGGGAGCAAACAGG
RNAcentral lists this ribosomal RNA (256 nucleotides) under uncultured bacterium. Its description in RNAcentral is "partial 16S ribosomal RNA". It matches the Rfam family "Bacterial small subunit ribosomal RNA", at positions 524 to 776 of the family's 1533-position model. The record is from RNAcentral.